Molecule: ribosomal RNA, 811 nt
Filed under: uncultured bacterium
Lineage: Bacteria
Description: bacterial SSU rRNA
Rfam family: Bacterial small subunit ribosomal RNA
Source: RNAcentral
ACAGUGAGUAGCUUGCUAUGAGCUGUUUUAGCGGCGGACGGGUGAGUAACGCGUGAGCAACCUUUCCCAGACAGGGGAAUAACACACCGAAAGGUGUACUAAUACCGCAUAAGACCACGGGAUCACAUGGUUCUGAGGUAAAAGAUUUGUCGGUUUGGGGUGGGCUCGCGUCCGAUUAGGUAGUUGGUGAGGUAACGGCCCACCAAGCCGACGAUCGGUAGCCGACCUGAGAGGGUGAUCGGCCACAUUGGGACUGAGACACGGCCCAAACUCCUACGGGAGGCAGCAGUGGGGAAUAUUGGGCAAUGGAGGAAACUCUGACCCAGCAACGCCGCGUGGAGGAAGAAGGUUUUCGGAUCGUAAACUCCUGUCCUUGGAGACGAGUAGAAGACGGUAUCCAAGGAGGAAGCCCCGGCUAACUACGUGCCAGCAGCCGCGGUAAUACGUAGGGGGCAAGCGUUGUCCGGAAUAAUUGGGCGUAAAGGGCGCGUAGGCGGCUCGGUAAGUCUGGAGUGAAAGUCCUGCUUUUAAGGUGGGAAUUGCUUUGGAUACUGUCGGGCUUGAGUGCAGGAGAGGUUAGUGGAAUUCCCAGUGUAGCGGUGAAAUGCGUAGAGAUUGGGAGGAACACCAGUGGCGAAGGCGACUAACUGGACUGUAACUGACGCUGAGGCGCGAAAGUGUGGGGAGCAAACAGGAUUAGAUACCCUGGUAGUCCACACUGUAAACGAUGAAUGCUAGGUGUAGGGGGUAUCGACCCCUUCUGUGCCGCAGUCAACACAAUAAGCAUUCCGCCUGGGGAGUACGGCCGCAA